GUUAGUUCAGUUGAGAAAGCAUAUCUGAGACCUAAAAGGGGCUGCCCCCCAAUUCCCAAAGAGAAAGCCAAAAACAAAAGCUCAAGAAGAAAGAAAAGGAGGAAACUAAAGGAAUUGGAACAAUAACAACUGUAUAAGGAUGAGGGCUAGAGAGCUUCUUGUAGGGAUGAAAAGAUGAGGACCCAUUUCCCAUUUCUUCGAAGGAACUAAUUGAUGAACAGAGGCUUCAACUACUGAUCAUGGUGAUAAUGUUGGUGUGUCUCUCUAUAUCUAUGGUGUUUCUAUUUUUGUUUUUUUUUAAAAUUGUAUUUGUAGAUGUAAAAAAGAUGAUGGUUAAUUUUGGCUCCUACCCAUGAUGAUGAUGAUGAU
This 369-nucleotide long non-coding RNA is filed under the name Linum usitatissimum (flax). RNAcentral's name for it is "long non-coding RNA (LUSI_LNC001309)". Lineage: Eukaryota; Viridiplantae; Streptophyta; Magnoliopsida; Malpighiales; Linaceae. The record is from RNAcentral.